AGUGGGGGGGUCUCCUACAGGGAGCAGUGGGGUUCUGCACUUAGGCUUCCAUCCAAGGGCAUCGAGUACAAUCCUUUUUUUGUCCCACGGUGGACGCAGCGAGGCGCCGUCAUUUCUUGGCUACGUGUAGAGGAGGAACGCUUUUAUUGCCAGAGAAGCUCAUAAAAGUGAGCGCUGGGGGGGAAUCGCUUAUUUUUUCUCCCCUUCAUCUUAAGAGCCACGAUGGCUAUCCGAAAUUGACCAAGCGCAGUAACUCUGUCCGCACGUUGACACUGACCAAAAACAAAAGCACAAAUUGGCUAAACUCGAUUUCAUUCACAAUAAUUGAAGUGGCUUUUGUUUGGAGGUAGGGGGGAGGGGACGUUUUCCCAAUUUCUUGCCUCAUAAUUUGCUCCAAUUUUUAACGGCCACUUUGGUAAGCAAAUUCAUUCGCUCAGCCAAUAAAGGCCUCCAAAUAGAUGCAGUAAUCUCUCGAUUUGCUGCUCUUCACUUUUCUAUUGCGCAUUAUUUGCUGGAACGCAGCAUACUUUUCCACACAGCCAGUGACUGCAGGAGACUUUUGUCGCAUAUAGCACCACCUCCACCAAGUGCAAAAUCAUCCCACAUUUAACAAAAGCAGAAAAUAAUAAAAUAAAAAUAGAAGCAAAGCCCCCUUUUCCUGUCUGUUGUCCGCUUUUUGGCAUCUGUCCCUGCCUGAGUUUUAAUAUGAUGACAGUCCCCAUUUACAAGGCUCAGGUAGCAGCCCAGCGCUGCGGGAGAAGCGAUUUACGAUCUUAGCGGGGGUGGAAUUAAAAACAAACAUAAAACACCGGUAAUUAGGAAGCAGGUGGAUCCCCCAAGAUGACUGAUGGAUAAAUCACGCGGUCUUAUGAUUGCGGGAGGCGGCGGGGACAUGCAUUUGCAUGCGUAAGCUUCUACGGCAGAGGUGUCAAACUCAUUUUUCUCGCGGGCCGCAUCGUAGUCAUAGUUUCCCUCGGAGGGCCAUUAUGAUUGUCAACAUCUUCUAUAUUUAGUAUAGGCUACAAAAAAACUGAUGAAGAACUAGUUUUGAAAUCAGAGAGUAAUACAAACUGUUCAAAUAUUCUAUAAAGACAAAUGAUAAUAAAAAUAGCAAGCGAUACCUAUUUUUUUUAAAAGUGAAGACAAUUUGUAAUUAUGGUUAUGAUACAAAGUCGAUGCAAAAUUUGUCUCACGAGCCACAUAAAAUGAUGUGGCGGGCCGCAUCUGGCCCUCGGGCCUUGAGUUUGACGCCUAUGCUCAACAGGCUCUCAGGGGGCUCGCUGAGAGCAUCACCGUUUGUUCCACUGCAGGUUUGAGCUCGGCGGUUUCGUUUUCAGCUGGGAUGACAUGCUUCAACUUGUUCGACUUGUCAUGCACAUAGCACCUAGAAGAGAACUUUGAGGUUUCAUUUCCAAACUGGACUUGUAGCAAAAAUCUAAUCCUUCCAGCCGCCUAUCCGCAGCCUCAUUGGAAAUCCUCCCCAGUGUGCAGCCACUGAAUCAAGCAGGGACUUCGUGUCCUUUCCGUUGUUGGCAUCAUUUUCAACCCAUAAACCAAAGCAAACCUAAAACAAAACAUACAGCUAGCUUAAUGCUCUCAUACAAUGCAAAACGCCAUAAACUGGUGGCAUCAGUAAUGCUUUUAAAGAUGUUGCGUUGUAGUUGUGAAAUUCUUCUUUGUUGGUGUACUGCCCCCGGUGGCCAAGCCAGGUACGCCGGAAAGAAUUGAAACCAAAACAUUUCUUUUUCUGUUUUACACUUUUUGUGAGGUCAUCCAAACAAUCAGUCCUUAACAACAAAUCUUCCUACUCGCACAUUUUCUGGCAAUCCGCUCAACUGAGUGACAUUCCAAUUUGCAUCUGCAUCACUUGUGCAGUUUGUUUCCCUCUUGGCUCCCUUCUUUUGUCGUCCUUUCACUUGGAUUCCUCGCCGCCGAUUUCCUUCUUCCUUUUGAUCUCGUUGCCUUUCGGCUUUCUGGGCGCAGGAAUGCUGAUGUAUGCAUUUUGAUGGCACACUGCAACAUUCUGGAGGCGGAGGCUUACUUUUCAGCGGGCGCCGUGCACUUAAGGGACCCCCACCGGCCGUCUCCCCCACCCGCCAUCCUUUGCUCCCCCCGUGGAUCACCCACCUGCUGUCUCCUGCCUAACUUUGACUUCUUGCUGUUAUUUGCAGUAAAGCGCAGUUGAGCUCCCUUACAGGCCCUUUGAAUUCCCUCGCUCGCUUCCUCAAUCUCUCGCAUCUUGUUCCUCCUCCACUUUUUUUCCAUCUUCGUUACUCGGCCCUUGAGGCGCUUUGCAUCCCUCCAAUUUAAGAAAGUCGGCAUGCUACCUAAAACUAUAUUCAUUAUCUGGGCUUGGUCUUUAUUUGUCCGUCUGACUGUACAGCAUUAUACUGCCUCCCCGUGGCCAAGACCUGCAAACCAGAAGGAGCAGCACAAUGAAUUCAAUUGCCACAUUAACUGUUUAAUUAUUUACAUUCAAAUUCAUUAUUUUUAAGUACAAGAUGAUAGUGUGAUUCUUUUUUUCUCGAUGAUGAAUGACUACAAAUUUGACUGCCGCAACCAGGCUUUCUCUGGUUUUCUCUGCUCAUACCGCCCUCAGGUGGCCAGGAGGCUCAUGAACAGCAGAAUGAGAAGUGUGGUAAGCACUCUAAUAAGCUCCUAUCUCAAGUCAGUGCCAUAAUUGAUUCAUCUCUAUGUAAACAUGAGAUACAAUUAACCGUCAGGCUGGCUUAUGAUGACAUUUUUAGUGCCCAUUAUUGGAAGUUGUUAUGAGGAAGUUAUGAAAGUAAUAUAGCCUUGAAUUAUUUUGCUGUGUGUGAAUUUCCCACUAAAUUCUCGUGAGAAUGCAUCGAGCUGCCGCAUUAACAUCAUCGCAUGGAGCUGGACUUGAUAACUGCAGGCAAUUUAGCGUGCACGCACGCACGCACACACACGCACGCACGCACGCACGCACACGCACACACACAACUAUUGGGAUUAUGAUGGUUCCAGCAGCUGUCUCCCUCACCUCUGCUUCUGCUUUUUUUUUACCCAUUCUUUCCGUCUGUUCCACCAUCUUUUAUUCAUAUUUUUUUUGUUCCUUUCAACACACGGCCACGUCUCCCGUGUCACUCAGUUUCACGAUUUUCUCUCGCCAUCUCGUCCACUUAUGAAUUUAUCACCAGCUUUCUACUGUCUGUGUCCUUUUGGUCUUGUUCCUUUUGGCCCCGCUCAAUCUUCCGUUGUUCCUCCUUUGUGCCGGUUGUAUGCUAUCAAAUGCCCUUUUGUAUUUUGGGACCAAAACCUUCCGUCCCCUAUUUUUGUGGUCUCUGGAGGCCCAACUGUAGAAGUGACCUAAUUGACAAGAGGCCAGAGAAGAAAUUUGCUCUAAAGCAUUAUCAUUGUAUAUUAUAUAAAAUUAUUAAAUAAUUUUUAAAAAAAUCACCCCAAAUACUUAAAUAUCUGACAAAAUAAACAAAUUUGUGAAUAUAAAAAUUUUAAAAAUACAAAUGAAGUGAAGAUAUUACAUGAAAGAAGAAAAUAAAUAUUAGAAAACAAUGCAAACAUAUUUGUAGGAAAUAAAGAUGGUCGUAAUAUGUUAUUUGCUCCUGGCAAAACACAAAACAAGUUUUGUAUUCUGGACGGUGGCGACCAAGCCGGAAUCAAUCGCAACCUUAAGUGGGCAAGGUGAAAAGGGGGUGGCUGGGGGUGGGGCAGCGUGACGGGACGAGCCCACCUUGAUGCGUGGACACUUUGGUUCUCUGCUGCUUGCCUUCUUAAUGAGGCUUAUUUAGAGGCACCUGCAAACCGACAGGGUGCCGCCUGGGGUGCAAAUCAAAAGUGUGACCAAAAAAGUGGUAUUAGUCUAAACUGGAUGUCGUAAAAGCCAGGAGGGAUCUUUUACAGCCGGCCCGUAAACGACCCGCGUUGCCUCUUGUUUGUCAUUGAGCUCUCUGCCGCUCUCUCCUGCAGCAACUUUCUUUUAUGGGCUGCGUAUUCAUUACGGCACAAUAAAGAGUCGAUUGGAAGGGGGGGGGGCUCCCAGUUAACUCGGGAUCGUGGCCUACUUGCCAAAGCCUCAUAAGGCUCCUUUUGGAUGUGUGAUGUAAGAUUGCACGCUGAUGAUUUAACGCCGCACUGCAGUGGCUGCUCCCAUCAUGGAAAGUUCUUCAUUCAGUUCAAGGCAAGUUUUUGAGUUUUUUUGUGGAGUCUAUUGCCGCUCAUGCAGACAAUAGGGCUAUUUUGUGAAUCUCAAACAUAUCUUGCGUCCAGCUGCUGGUCACACACUGUCAUUUUGGGGCAACUGCUGUCCUGGAAUAAAUGCUGGUUGUAAACUGCGGAUGCAAAUCAUUCCAACAAAAUUGUACUUCUAUCAUUGCAAAGCACCCGCGGCUUCAAGGAUCGUUUCCACGCGGCAGCGUGCUAAUGGACAACUGGACCUGCCGAUUUGCGCCACUGAGCUUUAUUGUGUGACCCUUGGCUCGCUUGCGCUCCUGCCGCGUUGACGGGUUUUUAUCUCCCGGCUUGCGUGAGAUGGCGGCGAGACGACUCCCCGACGACGGAAUGCAGCCAUAGCAAUCUUCUCCUUUGCGCUUUCCGCUUUAACAAUGGCAGAGGGACGCUGGUGAGGAUGCCACUGUCAUGCCUUUGCGCUUCCUCAAAAAUGACUCUUGUCUCAUUGCCAAUUAAAAAAGUUUUUCAACUUGUGACAAUGAAAAGAAAAACAGGCCAAAGUUUGUCCCUUUCCAUUAUUCAUAAUGUAGUCGGCGCAAUAUCAUGCUGGAGGGACUUUUCAAAGGUGCAUCGUGCUGUUUGCGACGUGUCAACUCCUCUCAGCUCAUCUUUACGGCGUUGAUAUUGGUCUUUUUUCCCCAGAAGAUAAAGAAUAUGUGCACUGGUAUAUUAUCUUCCUGAAUGUGUUGCAAGUGUUAGCAUGGCAACAUUGAUGCUAAUUAGUGUUUUCAUAAAUCUAGUGGACUGCAAGGCUAUGCUAUGUGGUUGUUUUAUUGUUUGUUUUAUGGCCUAUUUUGACAGUAGACUUCAACUGAGGGUGGCACCAAACGGCCCAAGGCCUCACUUUUUGUUUUGAAGAAUUGUUGACUCUUGAGUGAUGCCUAUGGUGAAGUGAGAUGUUCACCGCCAUCACUGCCAUCCCACCGCUUGUAUCUCAAAGUAUGCGACGGCAAGUAAAGUAAAAAAGAACUGUGUGCGUGUCUGCAUGCACGCGCACGGGGGUCAACAUUUUAACGCACAUUUAGUGAAGUUAUGUGGAGCUUUUGCAGAGAUUGCGCCAAGACACUCAGUGUGUGUGAUGUGAUCCAAAGAUUAAAGGGCUCCAAUCAGACGUCGCCCAAAGCCGGAGCUCCCACUGCGAUGCUAUCGCUCGCGUCGCCAGAUUGCAGUUAAAAAAAAAAAAGCUUUCCACUCGGCUCGCUGCUGACGGCCGACCGCCAAUGUCUUCUAGAAAACAUUUUUCAAAUUGCUCGCUUUUUCUAAAAAAAAAAAUAAAAAAGUAGCCACAUAUGUUAAGUGAAAUCCAAAGUCCUUUCGACGACGUAUUAGCAAAACCAGCUCUCACUUUUGUUAAGCGGGCUGGUUGGCAUCAGUUGAAUGUAACUAAAUAAUAACUUGUCAUCUAGUAAUCUAGUAAAAAAAAGUAAUCAGCAACUUCUAAAAGUGAAGUCAAGUUUUCAGUGAGGUAAUAGUUCCUCUUUCAAAGUAACUGUGGCAACAUUGACGUCACCGUCGGUCGGAUUCUUGGGCCGAGCAGAACAGCCUGCAGAGUGGUCCUUGAAAGGUGUUUGUGGUUCCAACCAAAAAUGGAGAGAAAGAGGAAAAAGGGACAGUUCAAAGCAGAUGAGGGAUGGUUUUGCCACUGCAUCUUUGGGUGAGGUUUUCCAUUCGAGUGUAUUAAUGUCUUUCAAGGGCCGCGUGUACGUGGGUGCUUUUGUGUGGGGAUUGCGAGCGAGUGAGAUGGCCGUGCAUGAGACUCGCUGUUUGUUGCCCGAUUUAAUUUGGAAACAUUACAGAGAGCUGGUGGUGGGAGUGAAUGCUACCCCCCCCCCCCCCCCCACCCCCACACACAUACACACCACUGCCCCCGGGCUGAGAUGGAGCGAUACCCAAGCAACAGAGGUGCCACAUAAAGAGUGUUAAUUAAAAGCACGCGAGUGAGAAUCAGGUAAGAGAGAUAACAGCUAGUGCAGGGAAAAUAUUUAUCUGCAUUAUUUAUUUAGCACACACACGCAGCACAACGUAUUUGAACCUGAGGUGUUAGCAGUAAAAAGGAUGAGUUUAACCGCGUGGAAGCUGCGUGAAAAGGGAGCAUCGCUCCAGUUGCAGCCGAUGGAAAGGAGGGAUGCAUUCAGGCUGCUUUUUAAUCCCGCUCUUGCUGUUUGGGCGGCUUUUUAUGAAACCUGGGUAUGUGUGUGCGUGCGUGUGAGCAGUGCUGCUUUCAGCUUAGAUAAGGCCAGAAAGAAUGAGAUGGCAGGUGAGAAAAAUGGUGUCCUUUCUUUGUGCGAGCGGAAGUAUAUAGAUAAAAUUGAAAGUCAUUAUACUCCCUCAAGUGGCGUAAUUACUAUGUUGAGGUUUCAGGUUAGCACGUGCGCACGAUGGUUGGAGCGCCACUUGCUUUGUUUCAUGUGCAAAUGUGGCAUGUCGCCCCUCAAGUGACACAAAACACAAAAACAAAUGAACACAACGCAACAGGAGAUGAAAAAGCACAAAAACGGCAAACAGCAGCAUGAUUGACAAGUGCAUCCGCCUGACAGGUUCGAGGUUUGAAUCCCUUGACUUCAGUGGCGGAUGCUAGUCUUUCAAGGAGGGAAUGCUCAAUUGCGGCCUUCUUCAUAAAAUACCUGCUGCUCGGGAGGGACAGAAACUGCGAUAGAAGUCAGAAAGAGUGAUAGAGAUCAGUCUCCAAAUUCAAUCAGCUACGAAAAGAACCCACCAGAAAUAGAAGCUCGAUUUGUUGCUAGUCAUUUUUAACAAAGAAAAUGUUGGUAAGAGGAUUAGAAAAGUCUCCGGUUCAACUCUGAACAGAAUGAAAAUUAAAAAAUGCUUCCACGGAUGUUUACACCGAAAGAUUGCCAAUUUGCUCAUUUCAUUCCAGUCAAUCAAAAAGGGAUUCAGCCUCAGACAGAUCAUCCAAUCAUCAUGCAGAAGUUGAAAGUCCAGGCUGGACGAGGCUAGCCCACUGCCCCAUCGACCCCUAGAGAAGCUGGGUGUCCGAUGGGCAGGACAAAGUCCAGCAUUCAUCCAAUGACUUGUCUCGUUUUGCCCGCCGUCUACACUGUUACCAGUGGUAAGAAGCUGAUUCUGAACUAAUGUAGUGCAUAUUUAGUCAGUGACAUGUACACACAACCAGGCGUCACCAACACGGUGCCCGUGGGCACCAGGUCGCCCGUGAAGACCGCAUGAGUCGCCCGCAGGACUGUUCUAAAAUGAGCUCAAAUAGCGGCCCUUGUCAGUGAGAUGCAUCUAUUUAUUUUACAGUCAAACCUCGGUUUCUGAAUGUCCCGGUUCUCGAACAAAUCGGAAUUUGAACAAAAAAUUCGAGAUUUUUUUGCUUUGGUUGUUGAACAAAAUUCGGAGGUCGAACCUCGCGAGAUGAGCCGGGAGGACCCGAGAAAACCCGACAGCGCGGCCCGGAUGCCGACUGACUCCGUAGUUAUUGUAUUUUCGUUACUUGGAGGAUUGUAUUAACCCCUAAUCAUGCCUCCAAAGGAAGCAAGAGGGAGCAGUAAAGCCAUCCUAAAGCAAUGCGACAGUGAGCGCCCGGCGCGCUGUGGUUGCGCGAUCGGACCAAAUUUAGCUCCCUGCGCACUAAGGUCCACCUAAAUUCUGGAAAGUACAUGAGAACUUUAAAAAUAUUUUCAAAAUUUUAGCGACGGCUCUGUCACAAUAAUACAAUCAGCGCGGUGCAGUUGCGCGUUCGGCGGUGCGCUGCAGUAGCGUGAUCGGACAAAAUUAAGCUCCCUGAGCACUUAGGUCCACUUAAAUUCUGGAAAGUACAUUAGGACUUUAAAAAGAUUUUCUAAAUUUCAGCGACGGCUCUGUCUCAAUAAUGCGACCAGCGUGGUGCAGUUAUACGCAAAUAUGCGUAAAUGAGAAAAUGCUUUAAAAAAAGGCGUUUUUCUUUAGUCUUGGAACGGACUAAAUUUUUUUCUAUUAUUUGUAAUAGGAAAAAUAGAUUCGGAAUUUGACCGAUUCGCUUCUCGAACCGCCUUCUGGAACAGAUUGUGGUCAGAAACCGAGGUUUGACUGUACUUUUGCUAUUCUUGUUAAAAUCACACUUACAUGUGAACUGGAAAUGACAAUAAUAACACUUAGUGAAAGCUAAAUUGAGCAAAUUGGCUAUUUCAGAAGUGUGUGUCAAACUGGUAGCCCUUUGCCUUAAUCAGUACCCAGGAAGUUCAAGUAAUCAAAAAAGAGUCUUCAAGAUGUUUAUUGUCACUCCCAGUUGAAGUUCAAACAAAGUAUAAAAUGUCCUAGAUGCUGGUUGCAUCCUGACAAUUUAGUGAGGCGGAAGAUGAAAAGGCCACAAGGCCGCCAUCGUCGGGAACGGAAGACGGAGUCGCUGCGAGCGCUGAUGAUGAUGCUCGGCGUUAUGAUUGCUCAAAUGAUGAUCAUGAGUGCGACAUUGCUCGCCGGGUUCAAAGGCUUUUGAGAAAGUUCGCCCAAAAUUGAGCGCUCACCUUUGUCGUCCGUGUGUCUCUGGAUUACCGGAUACAACGUCAAAGCUAAUUAGCAUAAAGUAAACGUAAAACUAGUGUGCGCAUGAUCCCUGUAAUUGCGUGCGAGGGAAAUAUAACUGUCUCCUGUACAUAAGUUGCACGUACUAAAGAAUCAUGUGGAGGACAUAAAAAGUAGGUAGAAAAAUAAUGUGAGAACAGUACUGAGAAAUGAAUAUAUUCACCUUAAACAGGUGAGUUUAUUGAGUGUCAACGUAAGAUGACCGCCAGUGCCUUUCUUUCUCCCUAUUGCGAGUAUACGGCAUUGUCAGCAACGCCGCCCGAAUGAGACCGAGUCUUCUUGUAGCUUUGACAUGCCAGAACCAGCUAGAUCCAUUUGUCCUGAGUACUUUGAAGGGUACUGCUACAAAUAUAGCGCCACUUUUCACGCUGCUGCUCAUCACACUCAAACAUGUGCUCGCACUGUCGCCGAAGGUGUAUAAUUGAAUUCUUGCGGCGUGUUGGCGCCCCGCGGCCAACAUGCGCUCACCGCACUGACGGUGUCAAGUGGACCCACCAUCUUCAACACUUCCAUUGGUUUUCUCCAAUGACAACGCUGAUUAGAAUGAGGAUCUGGAAAAAGGAGUGAGGAGGCGAGUGGGGGGGAGGGUGCCUCCCUGCAGCGUCCGACUGGUCUGACAUCCUUUCUCCACCGUCUGAUGAAAUGUAAUUCAAGUGGAGUGCCGAGAUGUUGAUGAGGGUUUGUGCCGCUGGAGGUCAGCAUGUAAAUGAAGUCAGUUUGUUUAUGGAGGGCACGCCGGUGGGCUGCAUUGAUGGAUGGCGACGAGCUGCUGGUGGAAGAGGAGGGGCAACAACAAACACUCUUACUAGUUUUGUACAGAUGUUAGCGUGCAACGAUACUUCUGGGUGAAUUCCGACACUCGUUAAUGACUAAUGAUGACUUGGCGCGCAAAGAUGACAGACUAGUAUUGAGAAUAGUUUCAAGUGGAAGUGUUCUACUCCUCAACUCCUCAUGUCAACAAAGCAACUUGCAUUGCCAUCAAAAUGCCACUCAUUGUCUCCAAACUUCAUAUUCCUUAUCCGAGGUUGUCGGCGCAGCUUAUUAAAACAAAGCACGGUGGAUAUAAAAAGAUGGAUAAAGAUAGAUCAGUCCUAAACUUUAUCAGUGAAUGCGACCUAUGACCUGUACAUGUCACCUAAUUCGUUUUCAAGCUGUGAUGCCAAAACAAACUGUAAUCUUACUUAACCAUGUGUCCAUCACGAUCAGACUCAAGUCACAGAGCAAUUUAAAGUUCUGGAAUAACCUCUAAUAAAUUAUACAUACACCAGUUACUACUUUUCGGUCAGCCCGAGAUUUGGCGCCACCUUGUGGCAUCUUUGAGCAUCACAGAAAGAAACCAAUCCAUACAUCCAUUUUCUGAACCGCUUAGUCCCCACAGGGGUCGCGGGAGGGCUGGAGCCUAUCCCAGCCGUCUGAACCGGUUGCCAGCCAACCGCAGGGCACACAGAGACAAAUAACUAUUUGCACUCGCACCUAGGGACAAGCUGGAGUCUUCAAUCAGCCUACCAAGCAUGUUUUUGGGAAGUGGGAGGAAACCGGCGUGCCCGGAGAAACCCCAUGCGGGCCCGGGGAGAAUAUGCAAACUCCACACAGGGAGGGCCGGAGGUGGAAUCGAACCCGCACCCUCCAAACUGUGAGGUGGACGUGCUACCCAGUGCGCCACUGAGCUGCCCAGAAAGAAAUCAAUUUCAGGAAAUGGGCUUGUGUGUGGCUGUGUGUAAUUACUCUCUGACCUGUCGCCGGCGGCGGCGUCAUCGUCGCUCUCAUGCGGGCCUCGCAUCCACGCACCGGCCUCCUUUAAAUGCAGCCCAGGGCUGCAUAGGCAGGCAAGAAAAAGCACCUUCAAGACGCCAAAUCUACACCCCCCUUCCCCACACACGCACUUGAACGUAGCCUCCCUGCUAAAUCCUCAUCUCCAUAUUCAUAGACAGAGCGGCCGCUUUAAGACUAUCUGAAAGGAGGCCUGCAGCGUCAUCGUAUUUGUGGAAAAAGUCAUUUCCUGUGGCCGUCAAGCAUGGAGGUGCGCACCCAUGCUCGGAUGGCGGGUUCCUCCGACUAGUACGCUUACAUGCUCUUGUAGACACACUUGAAACGAGGGCUAGGGGGAAAAAAAACAAGUUUGCGCCCCUCGCACCACGCUGCGGCAUCUACUCGAACAUUUCCGACAGAUUAUAAUGCAGUGGCAUUAACGUGCCCUUCAGUUGAUUAGCACCCUAUACUGGCGGAAAAGUGACACUGCAGUCAAGCGAUGAAAGAAGUCAUCUUACGGCAGCGACCAUUUUUCCACCAGAUGGAAUCCAAAUGUGGGAGCGGGAGUGUCAGGCCGAACCCAACCCAAAUGAGUUAGAAAAUGUUCGGCACGAGAAACCAUUCCGGAUGCAAUUUUGAUCCAGAUUUGGAAUCGUUUUUGUAGAAAUCUGUCCAAUUACUCUUUUAUUUAACGGAAAAAUUGUAAGAAUAGUCGAUUCUCAAAAGAAUGCAUCUUGGAAAUAUAGCUAUUGAAAACGACAAGUCGAAAGUGGCGGGGGAAAAAAAACAGAAGCGGGAUGACCUUGAGCGAGUGAAAGAGUGGGUGGAAUUAUCUCGACAUGAAACCUUACAUGGCUGGCAGAGUCGUUCCCCCCUAAAAGAUGACAGACGGCUUAUUUGUGUGGGCUGAAUGUGCUUUUGUGUUGCCAACUGCACAAGUGAAACAAACACGCCAGCAUUUGUUGGAUGACUGUAUGUGCGGCGCGUCUGUCAUCGCAUUUGCGACUUACAAGCGACAUCAAACGGCUAAACAAAGAGCUGUCAAACAUGCAAGUCAACUGAAAAUAAUCCUGACUAUUUUCAAUAAUGCAUGGACCGUAAAUAACACUUGGUUCAUGCUAAAAAUAAUUGUGAAAAAAAACCCCAGAGCUUCUGCGCAGCUAAUGAAGAAGCAAGCAAGUGCAGGAGUUCAUCUUGCCGCCCAUUUCCAUUCUGCUUCCUUUAUAAAUGCAUCUAGAUGUCACCGAAUCGAUUACAAUCGAUUCUCAAAAACGAUCCGUUUGUUUGGUAAUCGAUUUGAACGUUGAGUGCGCGGCGCACUUUUCUUCACAUCACGUUCACCUUUUGAGCGUUUGUAAAAAUACUCCAACAGUCAACAGGCCUGGCGGGAUAUGUUGUUGUCUUCAGGGGUGCAUUUUUUAUUUAUUUUUAUAAAGUGGGGGGCCCUAAAGGAUUGAACAUGUUUGACGAAGAGUCGUUUGCCAUGCUGAGGUAACAUUUGGCUUGGUCCCAGCUGUGUUUGACGGACGCACCCCGCUGGGGUUCCAACAACUCGUCUCUUCUCGGAGGCCUUCCAAACAUAAAUGUUGCUGUCAACACAAAGCCCACGCUGGCACGUUUCUCCCAAUUUCCUCCCUUUUGCCUCAUCUUCCCUUUUUCAUUGUCCUUGGCGGAGUGAUUUACAGGUAGCGGCCAUCGCUCUCCUGCUACUUUCUUGCCAUUUUUUUCAUUUUUCACCUUCUUACUUGUAUGUUACUCGUGUACUGUGUCUCGUCACCGUGGGAUGGAGGAAACGUAAUUUCGAUUUCUUUGUGUGUCUUGGCAUGAAGGAAUUGACAAUAAAGCUGACUCCGACUCUGUUGAUCUCUCCGGAAUGCUUCCACUUUUCGUGAGCCCCCACCCCCUCCCGCACACCUGCUCUCUCUCCUCCUCGGCCCCUUUCCCCCCCCUCGCCGUAUCACCGCAGACUCAUGUAGUCAAUUACCCGUUCUGUUAAUGAGCAGAUAAAUCUAAUUGCUCUCUCCUCCAGUGCCUGUCGGCAUCUCUCUGACUCUCUCGCCACCUUUCCGAAAGCCCAACGGAUAAGUCCGGCUCGCCUGUCAUUCCUCAAGACAAUCAUCGGUAGCAAAGCUGUGUUCGAAGGGAUCUUAGCGAGGAAAGUGGAAGCGGCGCUUUCGAGUCCUCGAUUCAAGUAAAAGUCGAAAAAGACUCUGUGUCGGUCAGCCUAGGUCUCUCGACGACUCGAUUUAUUUUUCGUUCUUCUGCUGCGCCCCGCAUGGCUCAACUUGCCUCCCUCUCAUAGAGUCUGUUGAUUCCUUUCAAGCAUCUCGACCUCGUCUUUUCUUUGCUCCUCCGCUCCGCGCUUUGCUGCGACCGGUGGUUCAAGGAGCGCGCCAGACCCGCUCGGCAUCAAUAAUCCCCCGCCGCUAUCAACAGACUUGCAUCGUCGCAGCCCAAAUGUAGCCGAGCGGAACCUCAUUAGAGCUUAUCAACAAAAGCACCAGAAGGGGCACGAAGUGGCGGAAUGGCAUACUGCAGCUCGCCGUUUGAUGCACGCGGGCGGUUCAAAGCAAGCUUUCCCUUUUGUCUUUAUCUGCAAAGGACGCACAUUUAAGGAGCUACUCUAAAUGGUCACUGUGAGGCCAAUCAACAAAGACAUCUCACAAAAAAGAACGCAACAUUGCCUGGGAUUUUCUGUCCGUCCGUUUGUCCAAGCGCAGUCCUGAGAUUUGAGCAAUUAAUUGCAAGUACUUUGGCGAAAAAAGUUUUUUUAAGAGGCUUCACACUGUUGAAUGUCACUGUCAGAUGAAGUUUAGCGUCAACAUGAACACAAAGCCACGAGAAUUACACUUUGUGCAUUUGUGUAAACAACCAAAGACGAGCUGAAAGAAAAGCAGAAUGGGAGCAUACAAUGGAAAAUGCUCUUAACGUGCUAAGAAUUAGCAUCUAUGUGUUAGCUGUUAAAAAACAAAUCAUAUGUGAGCGCACAUGCUGGAGCAACAUGUAGACCGAGCAUAUAAAUAUCAAUAAAUGAUCUAUCUAUCUGUGUCUGUCUGUCCGUCUGUCCGCCCACCUGCCCGUCCGUCCAUCCCUCACAGGCAUGCAUUCUUUAUCCCUCUGCAUCGCUUCACUUAAUUUCAAUUUUGCAGUCUUCUACUUCUUUGUUUUGAAUAAAAUUUCAGGUAUUGUGAGAAUUUGUAUGAAAGUGCCAUUUAAACCUCACGUAUUGAAGCAAUCUUUUAUCGCUUGCUGAAUUAAUGUCAACCGGUCAAUGCCAAACUGCAUAUAUGUGGGGACUUGCUGUACUAUUUAAAGCUUUAAAAACCACGACGCGAGGCUUCUGAGGUUCAACAUUGACAAAUCCUUCAAAUGUUUUUAGACAGAAAUUGUAUCUUUAUUUACCAGCACACAAGGAGAAUAUUUCAGUUUGAAAUGGAAAUUUGACAAGGUUAGAGUAAUGGAUUCUGUCUUUGUGCCUCCCCCGCCCGCCUCUGCCAGCGUCGUCAUAACAGUGUGAAAAGAGGCGUGUGAGAUGUUGACAGAAGCAUCCCGCGGCCGUAAUUGGUGUGCGUUGGACGGCGGGGCGACUGUAAUAACGCACAUUACAGUGCGGCGGCAAAUAGCCUCGGAUGAGCCGGCGGGGUCACGGGGAAUUCUCGCUUAGCACGGCGCUGGAAACAAAAACCCGCAUGGCCGGCAUGUUAAUGUUAAGUCUGCCCGCGCAUGCCACCAAAACGUGAUGAGCAAACACUCUUUCAGUUGAAUCAGUCCAAGUUAGCCUGCCGGAUUUAUCUGCCGGUGCGUUAUUGGUAAACUCUACAUCAAACCUGCCGUCCUCGCGUGGCCACAAAGUGGCAACGCUUCGUCUAGCUCCAAAGCGACAAACAAUCAAGCGGAGUAAUUGGCGAACGAGCAAGCGAAGCGCACGUGUGACGGCCCCGUCUGAUCUUCCCUUUUGCCAGAGGCGUAGCCAGGAAUUCUUCCAGUAGGGGCGCGCGCCCACAGGAAAAAAAAUCGAACAUCACCCACGCCGUUCGCUGAUCGCUAAAACAACAUCCGGGUCCGGGAGGCAAACGGUGAAUGGAUAACAUCGCGCACAUAGAAUAGCGCAAGCACAUUCGCGCAAGACCGAAAGAAAAAAAUGGCAUGAAAAUGAAGAAUCGAAAAAGUUCGAUUUUUUUUCAACCGGGGCGCAGGGAGUCCUAACCGGGGCGCCGCCCCGGCUCGCCCCGGCUUGGCUACGCCUCUGCCUUUUGCAAUCGCCCUCGUCGUACACGCUACGUCUUCCGCUCGUGUCUUCGCAAUGACUCAUUUGCAUGCACCGACGUCUCUUGCACGACAAGCCGAGUCAUGCGAAGCGAGCCCCUCGCUAUCGUAUGUGAAAUGAUAAUAAAUCGCUAUUAAAAAAAAAAAAUACAGUCAGCUUUGAAACGGCGCUCCACACGUGGACGCGGUCAUUCACGGACGGCGCUGGCAAUUAAGCGAACAAAACAAGAUUAGAGGAAGCCUGGUUUAAUUUGCAUAUUUUUGUGCGCAAAGCGCUCGACAACUGAUUUGCAGAUAAAUGAAGAUAAAGAAGACAUGGUGCGCAUAUCACGUACAAAUUCAACCACAACGCGUCUCGACGACAUCUUUGAUCAAACUAUCCCAUGGAUCAAGAAUUUAUGGAGUUCAAACCAGACUCGGUGAAGCAGCAUUUGGCUAUGAUGGUGCACGCCAAUGGAAAAAGUUGCCAAUGCAAGUGAAGUCUAGAUGCUUUUUUCCCUCUGUAGCUAAAAAAUUUAUUCUUCCAAAAUCAUGUCCUUGCACUGCACAUUCUGUUACACAUUUUUAGCAAGCUGUGCGAAGCAUAUUGUGUUAGCUUGAGUAUGAAAUGCACUCUAGAAACAUCUUGCCUUUAACCAAAAAUGUAAAUUAUCCACGUUAUUGGGAAAAAAAAAAAAACUUCCUUCGCCUUUGCUCAUGGCAUAUUUUCCCCAGCCUUU
Molecule: long non-coding RNA, 15467 nt
Organism: Syngnathus typhle (broad-nosed pipefish)
Lineage: Eukaryota; Metazoa; Chordata; Actinopteri; Syngnathiformes; Syngnathidae
Exons: 2
Source: RefSeq, a predicted model, not a curated record